RNAcentral lists this ribosomal RNA (1524 nucleotides) under Salmonella enterica. RNAcentral's name for it is "partial 23S ribosomal RNA". It matches the Rfam family "Bacterial large subunit ribosomal RNA", at positions 711 to 2215 of the family's 2925-position model. RNAcentral also lists the same sequence under 5 other names. Lineage: Bacteria; Pseudomonadati; Pseudomonadota; Gammaproteobacteria; Enterobacterales; Enterobacteriaceae. The record is from RNAcentral.
AGACCCGAAACCCGGUGAUCUAGCCAUGGGCAGGUUGAAGGUUGGGUAACACUAACUGGAGGACCGAACCGACUAAUGUUGAAAAAUUAGCGGAUGACCUGUGGCUGGGGGUGAAAGGCCAAUCAAACCGGGAGAUAGCUGGUUCUCCCCGAAAGCUAUUUAGGUAGCGCCUCGUGAAUUCAUCUCCGGGGGUAGAGCACUGUUUCGGCUAGGGGGCCAUCCCGGCUUACCAACCCGAUGCAAACUGCGAAUACCGGAGAAUGUUAUCACGGGAGACACACGGCGGGUGCUAACGUCCGUCGUGAAGAGGGAAACAACCCAGACCGCCAGCUAAGGUCCCAAAGUCAUGGUUAAGUGGGAAACGAUGUGGGAAGGCCCAGACAGCCAGGAUGUUGGCUUAGAAGCAGCCAUCAUUUAAAGAAAGCGUAAUAGCUCACUGGUCGAGUCGGCCUGCGCGGAAGAUGUAACGGGGCUAAACCAUGCACCGAAGCUGCGGCAGCGACGCUGAUGCGUUGUUGGGUAGGGGAGCGUUCUGUAAGCCUGCGAAGGUGGCCUGUGAGGGUUGCUGGAGGUAUCAGAAGUGCGAAUGCUGACAUAAGUAACGAUAAAGCGGGUGAAAAGCCCGCUCGCCGGAAGACCAAGGGUUCCUGUCCAACGUUAAUCGGGGCAGGGUGAGUCGACCCCUAAGGCGAGGCCGAAAGGCGUAGUCGAUGGGAAACGGGUUAAUAUUCCCGUACUUGGUGUUACUGCGAAGGGGGGACGGAGAAGGCUAUGUUGGCCGGGCGACGGUUGUCCCGGUUUAAGCGUGUAGGUGUGUGUUCCAGGUAAAUCCGGUUCACUUUAACACUGAGGCGUGAUGACGAGGCACUACGGUGCUGAAGCAACAAAUGCCCUGCUUCCAGGAAAAGCCUCUAAGCAUCAGGUAACAUCAAAUCGUACCCCAAACCGACACAGGUGGUCAGGUAGAGAAUACCAAGGCGCUUGAGAGAACUCGGGUGAAGGAACUAGGCAAAAUGGUGCCGUAACUUCGGGAGAAGGCACGCUGACACGUAGGUGAAGUGAUUUACUCAUGGAGCUGAAGUCAGUCGAAGAUACCAGCUGGCUGCAACUGUUUAUUAAAAACACAGCACUGUGCAAACACGAAAGUGGACGUAUACGGUGUGACGCCUGCCCGGUGCCGGAAGGUUAAUUGAUGGGGUCAGCGCAAGCGAAGCUCCUGAUCGAAGCCCCGGUAAACGGCGGCCGUAACUAUAACGGUCCUAAGGUAGCGAAAUUCCUUGUCGGGUAAGUUCCGACCUGCACGAAUGGCGUAAUGAUGGCCAGGCUGUCUCCACCCGAGACUCAGUGAAAUUGAACUCGCUGUGAAGAUGCAGUGUACCCGCGGCAAGACGGAAAGACCCCGUGAACCUUUACUAUAGCUUGACACUGAACAUUGAGCCUUGAUGUGUAGGAUAGGUGGGAGGCUUUGAAGUGUGGACGCCAGUCUGCAUGGAGCCGACCUUGAAAUACCACCCUUUAAUGUUU